AAAAAGACAAACCCUGGGUUUCCGUGUCCAACGUUUGACUGUCCGUUUUAUAUGAAAUUUUUUUAUAAUCAGUAUUUUUAUUGCUGUUAUAUGAUAAAACAUGAUUAAUACUUUAUGUGUGACUUAUCUUUUUAAUUUUUUUCAUAAUUUUUUUCAAAUAAGAUGGACGGUCAAACGUUGGACACGGAAACCCAGGGUUUGUCUUGUU
This 208-nucleotide microRNA precursor is filed under the name Oryza barthii. RNAcentral's name for it is "MIR812 microRNA precursor family". It matches the Rfam family "MIR812 microRNA precursor family". Lineage: Eukaryota; Viridiplantae; Streptophyta; Magnoliopsida; Poales; Poaceae. The record is from Rfam by way of RNAcentral.